This 406-nucleotide long non-coding RNA is filed under the name Equus caballus (horse). RNAcentral describes it as "lncRNA (ENSECAG00000033551.2)". The record is from RNAcentral. Lineage: Eukaryota; Metazoa; Chordata; Mammalia; Perissodactyla; Equidae.
GAGGCAAGAAAGGAUUCUACCCAGAGUCUCAGAGGGAACAUGGCCCUUUUGAAAACUUGAUUUCAGACGUCUAGCGUCCAGAACUGUGAGAGAAGAAAUUUCUGUUUUUGUAAGCCUCCCCGAUUGUGGUACUUUGCUACGGCAGCCGAAGGAAAUUCAUACAGUACCUACUUGAACAACUUCUUCCAGCAUUUCUCGUACGGUUGUAUUCCUCUCCCGGCUGGCACGGACGAUUGUGGUGCACGCUUCCUGCCAUCCUGCUCUGUGGUCCGCUGCUUGCGCUCACUUCCGUCCCUCACCUGACUCACGUCAGACAGACCGUCAAGAUGCAGCAGGGCUGCCGGGAGAACUUCCGGCUGUGCCCAAAUGUAAAGAAAUCAUGUGACAUAGAAGAAAGACUCAAGCC